This 2260-nucleotide ribosomal RNA is filed under the name Escherichia coli 6-537-08_S3_C3. Its description in RNAcentral is "bacterial LSU rRNA". It matches the Rfam family "Bacterial large subunit ribosomal RNA", at positions 688 to 2925 of the family's 2925-position model. Lineage: Bacteria; Pseudomonadati; Pseudomonadota; Gammaproteobacteria; Enterobacterales; Enterobacteriaceae. The record is from RNAcentral.
CUGGGCGUUAAGUUGCAGGGUAUAGACCCGAAACCCGGUGAUCUAGCCAUGGGCAGGUUGAAGGUUGGGUAACACUAACUGGAGGACCGAACCGACUAAUGUUGAAAAAUUAGCGGAUGACUUGUGGCUGGGGGGGAAAGGCCAAUCAAACCGGGAGAUAGCUGGUUCUCCCCGAAAGCUAUUUAGGUAGCGCCUCGUGAAUUCAUCUCCGGGGGUAGAGCACUGUUUCGGCAAGGGGGUCAUCCCGACUUACCAACCCGAUGCAAACUGCGAAUACCGGAGAAUGUUAUCACGGGAGACACACGGCGGGUGCUAACGUCCGUCGUGAAGAGGGAAACAACCCAGACCGCCAGCUAAGGUCCCAAAGUCAUGGUUAAGUGGGAAACGAUGUGGGAAGGCCCAGACAGCCAGGAUGUUGGCUUAGAAGCAGCCAUCAUUUAAAGAAAGCGUAAUAGCUCACUGGUCGAGUCGGCCUGCGCGGAAGAUGUAACGGGGCUAAACCAUGCACCGAAGCUGCGGCAGCGACGCUUAUGCGUUGUUGGGUAGGGGAGCGUUCUGUAAGCCUGCGAAGGUGUGCUGUGAGGCAUGCUGGAGGUAUCAGAAGUGCGAAUGCUGACAUAAGUAACGAUAAAGCGGGUGAAAAGCCCGCUCGCCGGAAGACCAAGGGUUCCUGUCCAACGUUAAUCGGGGCAGGGUGAGUCGACCCCUAAGGCGAGGCCGAAAGGCGUAGUCGAUGGGAAACAGGUUAAUAUUCCUGUACUUGGUGUUACUGCGAAGGGGGGACGGAGAAGGCUAUGUUGGCCGGGCGACGGUUGUCCCGGUUUAAGCGUGUAGGCUGGUUUUCCAGGCAAAUCCGGAAAAUCAAGGCUGAGGCGUGAUGACGAGGCACUACGGUGCUGAAGCAACAAAUGCCCUGCUUCCAGGAAAAGCCUCUAAGCAUCAGGUAACAUCAAAUCGUACCCCAAACCGACACAGGUGGUCAGGUAGAGAAUACCAAGGCGCUUGAGAGAACUCGGGUGAAGGAACUAGGCAAAAUGGUGCCGUAACUUCGGGAGAAGGCACGCUGAUAUGUAGGUGAAGUCCCUCGCGGAUGGAGCUGAAAUCAGUCGAAGAUACCAGCUGGCUGCAACUGUUUAUUAAAAACACAGCACUGUGCAAACACGAAAGUGGACGUAUACGGUGUGACGCCUGCCCGGUGCCGGAAGGUUAAUUGAUGGGGUUAGCGCAAGCGAAGCUCUUGAUCGAAGCCCCGGUAAACGGCGGCCGUAACUAUAACGGUCCUAAGGUAGCGAAAUUCCUUGUCGGGUAAGUUCCGACCUGCACGAAUGGCGUAAUGAUGGCCAGGCUGUCUCCACCCGAGACUCAGUGAAAUUGAACUCGCUGUGAAGAUGCAGUGUACCCGCGGCAAGACGGAAAGACCCCGUGAACCUUUACUAUAGCUUGACACUGAACAUUGAGCCUUGAUGUGUAGGAUAGGUGGGAGGCUUUGAAGUGUGGACGCCAGUCUGCAUGGAGCCGACCUUGAAAUACCACCCUUUAAUGUUUGAUGUUCUAACGUGGACCCGUAAUCCGGGUUGCGGACAGUGUCUGGUGGGUAGUUUGACUGGGGCGGUCUCCUCCUAAAGAGUAACGGAGGAGCACGAAGGUUGGCUAAUCCUGGUCGGACAUCAGGAGGUUAGUGCAAUGGCAUAAGCCAGCUUGACUGCGAGCGUGACGGCGCGAGCAGGUGCGAAAGCAGGUCAUAGUGAUCCGGUGGUUCUGAAUGGAAGGGCCAUCGCUCAACGGAUAAAAGGUACUCCGGGGAUAACAGGCUGAUACCGCCCAAGAGUUCAUAUCGACGGCGGUGUUUGGCACCUCGAUGUCGGCUCAUCACAUCCUGGGGCUGAAGUAGGUCCCAAGGGUAUGGCUGUUCGCCAUUUAAAGUGGUACGCGAGCUGGGUUUAGAACGUCGUGAGACAGUUCGGUCCCUAUCUGCCGUGGGCGCUGGAGAACUGAGGGGGGCUGCUCCUAGUACGAGAGGACCGGAGUGGACGCAUCACUGGUGUUCGGGUUGUCAUGCCAAUGGCACUGCCCGGUAGCUAAAUGCGGAAGAGAUAAGUGCUGAAAGCAUCUAAGCACGAAACUUGCCCCGAGAUGAGUUCUCCCUGACCCUUUAAGGGUCCUGAAGGAACGUUGAAGACGACGACGUUGAUAGGCCGGGUGUGUAAGCGCAGCGAUGCGUUGAGCUAACCGGUACUAAUGAACCGUGAGGCUUAACCUU